Molecule: ribosomal RNA, 234 nt
Filed under: uncultured bacterium
Lineage: Bacteria
Description: partial 16S ribosomal RNA
Rfam family: Bacterial small subunit ribosomal RNA
Source: RNAcentral
GAUCAUGGCUCAGAUUGAACGCUGGCGGCAGGCUUAACACAUGCAAGUCGAACGGUAACAUGAGGAAGCUUGCUUCUUUGAUGACGAGUGGCGGACGGGUGAGUAAUGCUUGGGAAUCUAGCUUAUGGAGGGGGAUAACUACGGGAAACUGUAGCCAAUACCGCGUAGAAUCGAGAGAUGAAAGUGUGGGACCUUCGGGCCACAUGCCAUAGGAUGAGCCCAAGUGGGAUUAGG